GAUUUUUUUAGCAAAACUCUGAAUUUCAUUUUAAAAAAUGAUGUGUCCUGCCAAGUGUCAAGCUUAACAAUAAAUGGCAUAAUGAUUCUUACUAAUGGUUUAUCGCAUUUCCCUAAUACCUGGAAACUACGUUCAUAAGGAUUGAGUAGGAAAGACAUAAAUGCAUUUCCAGGACAGCUAAAUUGUUUUAGGAAUAAUGUGAAAUGAAUAGACUAUGCUCUUAGUAUCUGUUACUACUGAUAAUGAAGAGCUUAUUACCACAAAACGAAAUAUAAAAGAGCUACGAUUAAAAAUAAAAAAACUUAAAAUAGUCAAAGUUCAAUAAUCUUCCAUUGAAUCCCAUACACACAAAGUCUAUGAACAACCAUCAAAUUUAAAGAGCUGUUUUGGCAAUAGCAGCAGGGUUAACUCUCUUGCCAUCACGGUUAUAGCGGACACGAGGGGGAGGAGUACGAAUGCGGCGUCCUUCACGGGAACGGACACGAACAACGCGAGCGUGAAUAGCACAUGAGACACAGUAUUGAAGCUUGACAUAUAUCUUGGGAAUAGCAUAUUCACUAUAAACAGAGGCUUCAGACAAAUCACGAAUUGCAGCAGUUUCAACCAUAUUACGGAUGUUCCAGCGCUUGAUGGCCUUGUCCUUGGGGACGGCACGGCUGCAGUUAAUACAUCUCACAAAUUUGGUAUGACCACGGCCAUGCUUGUUACGACCACAAUUUCUUCUUUUUUGAGUCAUACUGUUUUUUGUAGAUAAUAAGCAUGUACAAUUUGUUAGUUUCGACUGAGAGUUUGGGCCGUGACUGUUUUGAAAAUAACGAUGGAAGCUAGUACAGCGGAAUAUUGUUUAGUGUAAUGCACAGCAUUCUCAAAAACAUUCGCUUUAAGUCGUUAAACGAUUCUAUGGUUGGUGAAAAGAGAGAGCGAUUUAAAAACAGUAAUAAACCCGAAAAUUGUUUUGCGGUUCAAAGAGCAAAGGUGUGAAUCCUGCAUGCUUUGAAAAAAUUUGGAUUUACUUGCUUUAAGAGGAAAUAUGACUGAAUUGAUGGAGUUUUAAAUUACCAAUAAAUUUCGAAAUUUGGUAGUGAUGAAAGAUUAUCUUGGAAUGAAAUCAGCAUACCCCAGCAGUGUAGCUUUAGAAUAUAGUGGGAGACAUUAGAACAGGUGCAUGAGUGCCAAAUUGGCGUUGUUGGAAAGUAGAAACCUAUAAAGCGUUUUCUAACGACAUUUUUUAUAGCCUAAACAUUCCGUCGUUGCGUUCUAUAAAUAAUCUGAACGAUGAAGUCUAUUCAAGUAAGCGAAAAAUGGCUACGCUGAACGAGUUGUUGUAGUUAAGUGAGUUAACCGAAAACUUUGCACGUUGAAUACUCGUUUACUUAAUUUUUCUUAAAACAUGUUGAUCGAAUAGAGCCUAAUUCGCAACUAUUAUGCUUUGAGCGAGUUAAAUAAAAUUAUGUAUCGUGGCACCGGAAUGAUCGGGCCGAAAGAUAGAGAUCAAAAUAUGUCUUGUACAAAAAUAAUCUAGCGUAAGUACUGAAACAAAAUAAUGCUGGUUAACCAAGCAACCCAUUUCAUAUGUCACGGUUAUGUAGUGCUACUACCAUCAAGCGAAAAAAGAAUUGAUUGCUGUUUCAGAAUAUUGAAUUAUAUACUCCAUUUAUGAAAGGAGCAGUUCUAUACUAAGUUUUACUCACUAUUUUAUAUACAGCGGAUUACUUUCACCCGACGGACUCUACGUUCGAAAGCUUUACUUUGCAAAAAAAUAUGUAGCAUUUAAAAGGCGAUACAAAAAGUAAACUGAGGAUUUCAUCAAAACGUUAUAUAAUUCCAUUACUCAUCGCAUUCAACGAUGCAAGCGAAUUCAC
RNAcentral lists this long non-coding RNA (1862 nucleotides) under Schizosaccharomyces pombe (fission yeast). Lineage: Eukaryota; Fungi; Ascomycota; Schizosaccharomycetes; Schizosaccharomycetales; Schizosaccharomycetaceae. The record is from RNAcentral.